AACUAGAGAAAGCCCGGGCGCAGCUACAAAGACCCAACGCAGCCAAAAAUAAAAUUAAUUAAUUAAUUUUUUUAAAAAGAAAAGAAACUGCACACACUCGGUUGAACAGAGCCUGAUGUUCUGAGGACUCAAGUCCAGAAGACAGCUUCUCAGAUCGCUCUGAGGGACUGCUCCAAAGAGGAUUGACCUUCGAGAAAACCCAAUGGAUAAUUCUGAUUUUAUAUUACUCACUGAUGGUUCAUAUCUACAAGGACCUCAUGGAAGGUAACAGGCUGGCUAUGCCAUUGUUUCUCCAGUGUCUAUCUUUGAAAAUGGUCCCUUGCCUUAUAUCUAUUCCACCCAACAGGCUGAAUUAAUAGCACUAAUAAGAGCCUGUUGGUUGGCAAAAGGAAAAUUUGUUAAUAUUUACACAGCUAGUAUGCCUUUGGAGUGGCAUAUGAUUUUGGUAUGCUUUGGAAACAAAGAGGACUUUUUUUUUUUUUUUGGGCCUCGCUGCAUGUGGAAUCUUAGUUACCCAACCAGGAAUCGAACCCACAUCCCCUGUAUUGGAAGUAGAGUCUUAACCACUGGACAGCCAGGGAAGUUCCAAAGAGGACUUUUUAACAUCCUCAGGACAGUGUAUCAAAAAUGGGAAACAGACACAAAUGAACCUAUCUACAAAACAGACAAACUCACAGACAUAGAGAAUAGAC
This is a non-coding RNA of Delphinapterus leucas (beluga whale), 692 nucleotides long. NCBI's taxonomy places the organism in Eukaryota, Metazoa, Chordata, Mammalia, Artiodactyla, Monodontidae. The record is from RefSeq and is a predicted model, not a curated record.